RNAcentral lists this long non-coding RNA (1398 nucleotides) under Apteryx rowi (Okarito brown kiwi). RNAcentral's name for it is "lncRNA (ENSARWG00000010653.1)". The record is from RNAcentral. Lineage: Eukaryota; Metazoa; Chordata; Aves; Apterygiformes; Apterygidae.
GGGCGACACGGACGGCGAGGACGCGGGGGACACGGGUGACAGCGAGGACAAACACGCGGGCACAAGGGACGGCGGCGCCCAGCACACGCGGUGCCCGUGACGCUCCCCCCCCACCCAGGACUGUGCGCACACGUGACGCCACGGACACGUGACACCAUGGACAUGUGACACCGAGGACAUGUGACACCGAGGACACGCGGCGUCCCCAAAAUAAAGGACUGUCUCCACCCGCGGUGCCGUGGCCACGUGGUGUCGGGGACACACGAUGCCCGUGCGUGUCCCCACCCUGCACAUACGAGCACACGCGUGUUGCGACGCGUGACGCCGGGGACACGCGAUGGCCAUGUGUCCCCCCCCAAAAAAAACCCACGCACACGUGGUCGGAGCUGGGUCUUUAUUGCCCCCCCGCGGGGGCCGGAGCGGGGACACGCGUGUGCGCACGCCUGGACACGCGUGUGCGCCCGGGAACACGCGUGUGGGGGCAGCCGGGGGUCAGGCACCCCGGGGGGCUCCCAGUCCCUCCCAGUUCCCUCCCAGUGCCCAUCCCAGUGCCCCCAGUUCCCUCCCAGUCCCUCCCAGUGCUCCCAGUUCCCCUCCCAGUGCUCCCAGCGUCGCUCCCACCCCCCCUCCCAGCACCCCUCGUGCCUCUCCCAGUGCUCCCAGUGCCCUCAAAGCCGCUCCCAGUGUCUCCCAUUGCCUAUCCCAGUGCUCCCAGUCUCCCCAGUGCCCGUCCCAUGUCACUCCCAGUCACCCCCAGUGCCCCCCCCAAUGCCCCCAGUGCCCUUGUGUCACUCCCAGUUGCCCCCAGUGCCCCAGUCGCUCCCAGCGCCCACCCCAGUCACCCCCAGUGCCCAUCCCAGUGCCCCCAGUGCUCCCAGUCCCUUCCAGUGCCCAUCCCAGUGCCCCCAGUUUCCCCCAGUGCCCGUCCCAGUGGCUCCCAGUCCCUUCCAGUACCUGUCCCAGUGGCUCCCAGUGCUCCCAGUUGCCCACAGUGGCUGUCCCAGUGGCUCCCAGUGUCCCCAGUUGCCCCCAGUGCCCAUCCCAGUGCUCCCAGUCCCUCCCAGUGGCUCCCAGUCCCUCCCAGUGCCCGUCCCAGUGCUCCCAGUCGCCCCCAGUGCCCGUCCCAGUGGCUCCCAGUCGCUGUCCCAGUUGCCCCCAGUGCCCAUCCCAGUGCUCCCAAUGCCCGUCCCAGUGCUCCCAGUGCCUCCCAGUGCCCGUCCCGGCGGGGGGCUCACGCGUUCAUGCUCUUGCCGCUGCCGCUGAGGACGAUGUAGGGCGUCUUCUGGGCCUUCUGCUUCUCCUGCAGCAGCGCCACGGUGCCCAGCGGGGUGUCGCUCGAGCUCAUCUUCUUCAGCAGCUGCCCCCCGAAAACGGGGUACGUCACCCCCAAAACGGGCA